This is a long non-coding RNA of Carassius gibelio (silver crucian carp), 737 nucleotides long. RefSeq lists it as uncharacterized. NCBI's taxonomy places the organism in Eukaryota, Metazoa, Chordata, Actinopteri, Cypriniformes, Cyprinidae. The transcript has 2 exons. The record is from RefSeq and is a predicted model, not a curated record.
AGCGUGCUUCAGAUCUCCGGAGAUAGCACGGUACGCUGUGUUCAGCCCAGAGGUGGGAGCUAUUCAAAGCAAACUAACUGUGCGUUGUGUCCAAUCUGAUACCUGUGGAGAGAAAAGGAAAGAGAGAGUGAGUAACACAAGGAGAAACAGAGGAAACCUGUACUUACAGUACGCUGUGUUCAGCCCAGAGGUGAGAGCCAUUCAAAGCAAACUAACUGUGCUAUUGUGCCCAAGUUGAUACCUGUGGAGAGAAAAGGAGAGAGAGUGGGUAACACGAGGAGAGACCGAGGAAACCUGUACUUACGCCGCUGCCUGUGGAGAAAGAGAAAGCGAGUGAGCACCCAAGGAACGAACUGUGUGAACCAGUACUUACUGUGAGCUGCAAUCAGCGAAGAGGUGAGAGCAAAACCAAGCCGAAUUAACUGUGCCUUUGCGUCCCAGCCGUUGCCUGUGGAGGAAGAGAAAGAGAGUGAGCACCCUGAGAACGAACUGUGUGAACCAGUACUUACCGUGAGUUGUAUUCAGCGAAGAGGAGGAAGAAGGAGGGCGCUACGGAUACCUAAGACUCUGGCCGGGCCCCGAGUCCCACGCCCCGGAUCCCCGUGGCCCCCUUGCUCCCUGACCUCUUCCCGGCCAUAGCCCAUCUGGAGGGCCGAGUCAGAGUUUAGUUUUAAUUGCCCUUUCCCUAUUCCCCAAGCUAUUUUUAAAUAUUUAAAUAAAGAUUGUUUUAUCACUUA